RNAcentral lists this ribosomal RNA (576 nucleotides) under Russula sp. 14 KA-2019. RNAcentral describes it as "partial large subunit ribosomal RNA". It matches the Rfam family "Eukaryotic large subunit ribosomal RNA", at positions 93 to 642 of the family's 3401-position model. The record is from RNAcentral. Lineage: Eukaryota; Fungi; Basidiomycota; Agaricomycetes; Russulales; Russulaceae.
GUGAAGCGGGAAAAGCUCAAAUUUAAAAUCUGGUGGUCUUUGGCCAUCCGAGUUGUAAUUUAGAGAAGCGUUUUCCGCGCUGGACCGUGCACAAGUCUCCUGGAAUGGAGCGUCAUAGAGGGUGAGAAUCCCGUCUUUGGCACGGACAUGCCAGGGCUUUUGUGAUGCGCUCUCGAAGAGUCGAGUUGUUUGGGAAUGCAGCUCAAAAUGGGUGGUGAACUCCAUCUAAAGCUAAAUAUUGGCGAGAGACCGAUAGCGAACAAGUACCGUGAGGGAAAGAUGAAAAGCACUUUGGAAAGAGAGUGAAACAGUACGUGAAAUUGUUGAAAGGGAAACGCUUGAAGUCAGUCACGUCGACCGAGACUCAGCCUCGCCUCGGCUUGGUGUACUUCUCGGCUGACGGGUCAGCAUCAAUUUUGCCCCUUGGAUAAUGGUGAGGGAAAUGUGACACCUUUACGGUGUGUUAUAGUCUCUUGUCGCAUGCAAGGGUCGGGAUUGAGGAACUCAGCACGCGCCUUUGGGUGUCGGGGCCUUUUGCCCACGAUACGUGCUUAGGAUGUUGGCAUAAUGGCUUUA